GAUGAACGCUGGCGCCGUGCAUAAUACAUGCAAGUCGGACGGAGCGCUUCGGCGCUCAGUGGCGAACGGGUGAGUAGCACAUGGGCAACCUGCCCUUCAGAGGGGGACAACCGCUGGAAACGGCUGCUAAUACCGCAUAGGCGCGGACGGGACAUCCCGUCCACAUUAAACGUCCUUUCGGGGACGGCUGAAGGAUGGGCCUGUGGCGCAUUAGCUUGUUGGCAGGGCAACGGCCCACCAGGGCGACGAUGCGUAUCCGGCCUGAGAGGGCGGACGGCCACGCUGGGACUGAGACACGGCCCAGACUCCUACGGGAGGCGGCGGUAGGGAAUUUUCGGCAAUGGGGGGAACCCUGACCGAGCAACUCCGCGUGAACGAGGAAGGCCUUCGGGUCGUAAAGUUCUGUUGCGAAGGAAGAACGCCGGAGGGAGGAAAUGGCCUCCGGGUGACGGUACUUCACGAGAAAGCCACGGCUAACUAC
Molecule: ribosomal RNA, 481 nt
Filed under: uncultured bacterium
Lineage: Bacteria
Description: bacterial SSU rRNA
Rfam family: Bacterial small subunit ribosomal RNA
Source: RNAcentral